UGAAGAUGUGGUAAAAGGACAUUCUCGUC
Molecule: non-coding RNA, 29 nt
Filed under: Mus musculus (house mouse)
Lineage: Eukaryota; Metazoa; Chordata; Mammalia; Rodentia; Muridae
Source: RNAcentral